GUCUCCACAGCCAAAUCAGCUCUCUUUCUAUCCCCACCAUCUUGAUCCGUACUAUUUGCCGGCGAAUGGUUCCCCGGUGAUUUUUUAAUAUUGAGAUUCACUUUCGCGGCUAUUGAAGAGAUAGUUAAACUUAGUCGGUGUUUUGGUUUCUAAUAGUCAUUGACGAUCGCUUUCUGUUUUGCAGGUGGAAGUUAGCUUCGUUCGGUGGUGAAGAUCUAGGUGUCGCCGUCGACUCAUACACGACCACAAUCGGUGGUAUAUCUAUCUUUCUCCAUAUAUCUUGGUAUGCACUUUCCUCUUUAUUCGACUCCAAGUCGGAUGUUCAUGCUUUUUAACAUGUAUGUUCGUCGUUUGUGAUCAUCGUUUGUGAUCAUCGUUGGCUGAACCGGUUCUGGUUCAUCAUUUUGGUCAUUGCCCGUUUGCCGACGCCUUGCAGCGGUGGCUGAACUAAUUUACUGUUUUUUAUUUUUUAUUUUCUUUUUGUCUGACCGGACUAGUUUGAGUUGUAGUGCUGGUCACCUCUCCGGGGUGAACUAGUUCAACUUUGUGGCCAAUUUUUUGUGGUGAACUAGUUCAAUGGGUAAUUUUCAAGGGUGUACUAGUUCGACAUUAAGGCCAGUUGUUCGGGUGAACUAGUUCAACAUUAUGGUCAAUUUUCUAGUUUUGGUGAAUUUUGUAGUGUUGCUUGAUCUGCAGUAUUGUACUGGUUCAGGGUAAAAUUUGACAGAACCAGUUCUAAUAAUACUGUGUAAUAGUGGCGAUUAUAAAGUGUUGUUCUACUUUGAAUUGUUGAGAAAUCCUCUGAACUAGUUCAGAUGAAAUGUAUUGAAGCUCCUUUUUAUGGUGUUUCAGAUGAUACAGAGAACUUGAAAUGUACUGUUACUGUCUUUUCAUAUUCUUUUUUUAUGGUAGUGUGUACUAAUUCAGGUUCCACGUUGUAAACUUUUUCUGUUUGAAUUGGAGGGUGUAUUAGUUCAGGUUCCUUAGUGUAACUUCACCUUCUUUUUGAAUUGGAGGUGUAUUCGUUCAGGUUCCCCACUUUAACAACUCUUCUUGUUUGAAUUGUAGGGUGUACUAGUACAAAGUUCAAUAUUGUAAGCCUGAAUUUUGUAGGAAUCUUUUUCUAAAUGAAAAAAUCUCCCGUAUGUCACAAGCUAUUCGGAAAUUCCCCGAGUUGACAUAAAUUAUCGUCAAUGUUUGAGGCGUCACAACCUUUUAAUUUUUUUUCAAAAUGUGUCCUGACGAGAAAUUGAGCCGUUAAGUUGUCCACGUGGAGUAAUGGACUGAGAGCUGUGACUGAUGUGGAGAUCUACGUGGAUAAUCGAAACAGUGACAAAAAAUUUAUUUGAAUUUUAUUUGUUUAAAAAGGCCAAGCCAAGCCAAACCUAAUUUCCAUUCUUCAUCUCCAUUCAUCUCCAUCAUCACCGUUCCUAUCUUAAUCUCGUCCUUUCCGUCACCCCUUUGUUGCAGUUUGUUUUUCUUCCCCCGAAUGGAGUCAUAUGGGAUGGCUACAAGCUCUAGUCAGUCUACAGCAGCGCCGAUCGAAAGCUACUCUGGUGCGCACAAAUGCGCACACCAUUGCGACAUCGUCGUCAAGGUUGCCUGAAUCGAAUUCGGGGACGAGCUUUCUACCAAUGUCCGUUCUGGAAUGAGAAAGCUGUCGAUUGUGGUUACUUUCAAUGGGUCGACCAACCCCAUGCUUCUGGGGAUGAAAAGGUUGUCAAAGAGCUUCGGAGGAUUGACGCCGAUUUGAAAUCGAACUUGGCCGAGUUGCAAUCUGUUACGGUUAGCUUACGACGUAUGGAAGAGAAAUUCUCAUAUGCAUGUUUUUCGUUUGGUGUGAUUGUGUUAUCAAUUGGAUUUUUUUGUCUUGGGCGAUUAGUGUAGAAUUUCGGGUCAUUGUUCUACACGUUCAUUUCCAAUUGUAAGAGUACCUUCCGAUUGAAAAUUUGCAGACAAUACAUCCUGCUACAAGCAGGGAUUGUACAACUAGUGUGGUAAUACAAGUUCGGACCACAUCUAGUAACAAAGAACGUUCUGCAUAAUAUGACCAAAACACGAGUAACC
This 2067-nucleotide long non-coding RNA is filed under the name Linum usitatissimum (flax). RNAcentral's name for it is "long non-coding RNA (LUSI_LNC003456)". The record is from RNAcentral. Lineage: Eukaryota; Viridiplantae; Streptophyta; Magnoliopsida; Malpighiales; Linaceae.